Long non-coding RNA from Chenopodium quinoa (quinoa), 1464 nucleotides. RefSeq lists it as uncharacterized. The transcript is spliced from 7 exons. The record is from RefSeq and is a predicted model, not a curated record. NCBI's taxonomy places the organism in Eukaryota, Viridiplantae, Streptophyta, Magnoliopsida, Caryophyllales, Amaranthaceae.
GGGUUUUGAGAAAUUAGUCGUUCAUUUCUUCCAUCAGCCGUUUUCCUCCCUCUCUCUCUCAUAUCUCUCUUUCGCUCUCUCUCUCUCUCCUCAAUCUAAAACUUUAAAUUGCAGAUCUUUGUUAUUUGGAUCUAAAUUGAGAAUUUCUGUCAACUUAUUCGGACCAAUUGUUCGAAAAUUGACGUUUCGAGUAUGAUUUCUUUGGUAAUCUCUGAAAUCCGAUUCAAAUCCAUGACGCUGAAUCUUGAGUAAUUUACCUCCAUCAAAGCUCCAUUGUAGAAGCUUCUGAGCUUUAACUCGUUAUUGAAACAAAAUCAGAGGAAGAUAGACAAUUGCAUUAACUGCUUGGUUGUAGUGGUGGUGCUUUCAAGAUCAAUGAGGGGAGGCCACCUUAAGGUUUAUGUCAGAGUAGGUGACAAGAGAAGAUGAAGACAGAAAAAGAAAAUAGAAGGGGAGAAUAUAUAUGGUAUCAUGCUAGUGCUUCGUAUAUUGGGUAAUACAUACUCUGGUUCAUUUUGCUACAAUGAAUCUAAAGCUCGUAUAUAACCAAUGAUUUGAACAAGGGUGUUAUCUAAAGCUCGUAUGUAACCAAUGAUUUGAGUAAGGUUAGCAUCCAUGGGUCUUCCUGAUGCUUCUGCCAUCCGCUCUACUAUCGGGAAGGAAUUUCAAUUGCAAUUGCCAGCUUCUAUUGGAAAGUGAUCGAGCAAUGUGGCCCUCUGAAUUAGCCAACAAGAGGUCUCAAUACAACCAUUUUAAGGAUGAACUCUUGAUGUCUCCCGACACGUUGAGGGUUGAGCCUGAUGCUGAGAAUCCUGGCAAGUUUCUUGUUGCCUUCACUUUUGAUGCUACUGUUGCUGGAAGGUAGCACAAGAGAUUAACUCAGAGGCAAAACUUCAGAGUGACUUUGUAGAUCAGUUGAUUAUACUACAAGAAGUGCCCUAGCUACAGUUGAGAAUUCAGGGCAUUGGAACUAGUACUGGGGCUUCAUUCAGAUUACCAAAUGCCGAGUUAUUUCCAUUUGCAGGAGAUGGGAAUGACUCUGAGGUUAGUUGUGAACCACCUAGUAGGAGAUUCAGCUCUUGCUCUAGCAAAGUAACAAGCCAUUUUGGCUCAGACAGCAACAAGAAAGCUUCAAGAUGGAUGUUCAGCCCAUUUGCAGGAGACGGGAAUGACUCUGAGAUUGUUUACUUAUUCAUCAUAUAUAAAAUUGGGUUGUUUGUGCACCAUUGUUUACUAAAUUUUGUAAUCAAUAGCGUUUUGGACUUCUCAAUAGGAGAGUAUAUAAUUAGCAUACAAAAUUGGAUUUGGUUUAUAUGUUAUGUUUGAUAAUAUGUUUGUGGCAAGAAAAAUUGGAUUUAUUAUAAUUUAUUAUAAUAAUUUGGAUGGUAAAUGGAAAGAAGAAUAGGGGUAUUUGUAACUAGCACCUGAAAUGCUAGUUACAAAUGCCCCUAAUUUUUUGUCUUA